CCGCUUGGUGGAAAAAUCUCAAAUUUUGAUAUGAUCAAGCUAAGUAACUCAUAAACGUCCUCCAACUGGAAUUACUCCAAAAUUAUUACUCCAAAAUUCGUCCAUUUGGUCCUGUUUUGCUCCAGAGGAAGUCAAAAGUCCUAUAUUAAAAAUACAAUUCAAAGUAUCAAAAUUCUUCCAAAAUAUUAACCAAAAUAUACUAAGAAUAGGGUAAAAUAUAUAUAAUAUAAAGUCUACUCAUCAAAUUGAACAAAUGAUUGGUAUGUGUUUACCUUGAAUUUGAGAUAUUCAAUGAAUUGACUAUGAGUAAGGAUUUUAUGCCAUUUAAAAUCAGUUGUUAUGAAAAUAUUCUUCAUAAUGAAAGUAAUGAAUUCAAAAUAAUAAUGCAAAUAUAAUUUGAAAAUAAGUUUUAUUGCAAAACUUACACUGGAACUUGCAAUUGAUUUACUGACGAUUGAGUCAGCAAAUAAGAAAAUGACUGAUGAAAAGGAUAUUGGUGCACACAUGCAUCCUUGACAUUUGAAAAUUAAAAAUGUUUACAAUUUUUGAUUUCUUUGGGUAUAGUGUGAACUCAAAUAAAGCUUUUACUGAGAAAUUGUGGAAAUUCCAAACUUGAAACUUUCUCCUCUAUAGUCCACCUCUUAUAGACUUAGAAAAGGAGUUGGAUGAUGACUUACUUUUACUAUUGAUGAAUGAUGACUUGCUUUCACUAUUGAUGAACAAUGAAAUUUAUUGGAAUAAUUGC
Molecule: long non-coding RNA, 745 nt
Filed under: Malus domestica (apple)
Lineage: Eukaryota; Viridiplantae; Streptophyta; Magnoliopsida; Rosales; Rosaceae
Description: long non-coding RNA (MDOM_LNC020384)
Source: RNAcentral